Molecule: ribosomal RNA, 420 nt
Filed under: uncultured Paeniglutamicibacter sp.
Lineage: Bacteria; Bacillati; Actinomycetota; Actinomycetes; Micrococcales; Micrococcaceae
Description: bacterial SSU rRNA
Rfam family: Bacterial small subunit ribosomal RNA
Source: RNAcentral
GGAAUAUUGCACAAUGGGCGAAAGCCUGAUGCAGCGACGCCGCGUGAGGGAUGACGGCCUUCGGGUUGUAAACCUCUUUCAGUAGGGAAGAAGCGAAAGUGACGGUACCUGCAGAAGAAGCGCCGGCUAACUACGUGCCAGCAGCCGCGGUAAUACGUAGGGCGCAAGCGUUAUCCGGAAUUAUUGGGCGUAAAGAGCUCGUAGGCGGUUUGUCGCGUCUAUCGUGAAAGUCCGAGGCUCAACCUCGGAUCUGCGGUGGGUACGGGCAGACUAGAGUGAUGUAGGGGAGACUGGAAUUCCUGGUGUAGCGGUGAAAUGCGCAGAUAUCAGGAGGAACACCGAUGGCGAAGGCAGGUCUCUGGGCAUUAACUGACGCUGAGGAGCGAAAGCAUGGGGAGCGAACAGGAUUAGAUACCCGAG